Molecule: ribosomal RNA, 253 nt
Filed under: uncultured bacterium
Lineage: Bacteria
Description: partial 16S ribosomal RNA
Rfam family: Bacterial small subunit ribosomal RNA
Source: RNAcentral
UACGUAGGUGGCAAGCGCUAUCCGGAUUUAUUGGGCGUAAAGAGAACGCAGGCGGUCUUUUAAGUCUGAUGUGAAAGCCUUCGGCUUAACCGGAGUAGUGCAUUGGAAACUGGGAGACUUGAGUGCAGAAGAGGAGAGUGGAACUCCAUGUGUAGCGGUGAAAUGCGUAGAUAUAUGGAAGAACACCAGUGGCGAAAGCGGCUCUCUGGUCUGUAACUGACGCUGAGGUUCGAAAGCGUGGGUAGCAAACAGG